Molecule: ribosomal RNA, 496 nt
Filed under: uncultured bacterium
Lineage: Bacteria
Description: partial 16S ribosomal RNA
Rfam family: Bacterial small subunit ribosomal RNA
Source: RNAcentral
GAUGAACGCUGGCGGCGUGCCUAAUACAUGCAAGUCGAGCGAACAGAUGAGGAGCUUGCUCCUCUGACGUUAGCGGCGGACGGGUAGUAACACGUGGAUAACCUACCUAUAAGACUGGGAUAACUUCGGGAAACCGGAGCUAAUACCGGAUAAUAUAUUGAACCGCAUGGUUCAAUAGUGAAAGACGGUUUUGCUGUCACUUAUAGAUGGAUCCGCGCCGCAUUAGCUAGUUGGUAAGGUAACGGCUUACCAAGGCAACGAUGCGUAGCCGACCUGAGAGGGUGAUCGGCCACACUGGAACUGAGACACGGUCCAGACUCCUACGGGAGGCAGCAGUAGGGAAUCUUCCGCAAUGGGCGAAAGCUUGACGGAGCAACGCCGCGUGAGUGAUGAAGGUCUUCGGAUCGUAAAACUCUGUUAUUAGGGAAGAACAAAUGUGUAAGUAACUAUGCACGUCUUGACGGUACCUAAUCAGAAAGCCACGGCUAACUACGUG